This 200-nucleotide ribosomal RNA is filed under the name uncultured bacterium. Its description in RNAcentral is "partial 16S ribosomal RNA". It matches the Rfam family "Bacterial small subunit ribosomal RNA", at positions 29 to 258 of the family's 1533-position model. The record is from RNAcentral.
AACGAACGCUGGCGGCAGGCUUAACUCAUGCAAGUCGAACGCCCCGCAAGGGGAGUGGCAGACGGGUGAGUAACGCGUGGGAAUCUACCCAUCUCUACGGAAUAACUCAGGGAAACUUGUGCUAAUACCGUAUACGCCCUUCGGGGGAAAGAUUUAUCGGAGAUGGAUGAGCCCGCGUUGGAUUAGCUAGUUGGUGGGGU